GUCUUGAUGGUGUCAUGAAGAAGAAAAGAAAUGGCAACAGCUCACAAUUCAGUUCCCACAUAUGCAAAGUGAGUAGGAUGGACCAGCCUGGUGUCAUAAGAGUCAUUAGCAUCUUCCAAGUGGCUUUCAGGAUAUCUAUUCUUGACCCUUCUACUUCCCUUGUCCCCUGCUGAGAUUAAUCUGGAGUGGGAGCCCAGGAAUCUGCAUUUUAUAAAGGCAACCCCUCUACCAGCAGUUAGUUUAAGGUACACGGAGGUGAAUCUUUGAGGACUGCUAUCAACAAUAAAAUUCCAUGAACAGGAUUUUGGGAGAAGAAACAACUUCUUACUUUUUAACCAGAUCGUUAAGUGGUUGCAAUAAUUAGCUGGUUUAUCUUAAUUUGAUGAUCUGAUUGGAACAAACUCCAGAGGUAGGAGAGUCCUUUGGGGAUGUUAGUUAAAACAACAUAUUUUCAAUUUCAGUGGUAUUAAAUUAGACAGUGAAGCAGAACAAAUUCUACUCUCCUAAGAAAGCAAGACUUUCUCUAGCAAAAAAUAAAGAAAUAAAUAAAAAGUCCUUGAAAUAGUUAUUUGUUCUCGUGUCUUUGGAAAAUCAUGGCUCAUUUCCAGGUAGGCAUAGAAAAACGAUAAUUAUAUUCAUGUAAAUGUCAAUAUUGCCUUCAGGAGGUAGGGAUGUUAAAAACAGUGUUUGAAAAUUUUGGAACCUAGUUACCAUAUAAUUAAAUUAAAUCUCAGCUAUAAUCUUGCUUUCUCUGAGAAGGGUAUUAUUCUAUUUUCGUUAAAUAUUUAAAAAUUAACUUAUAAGGAAAUGAAAAUCAUCACUUUAAUCUUGCCUCAUAUUUGUUUAAUAAUCUCAAAUGAUUAAUUUUGUAAUUAAGGAAAUGGAAUUGAUUUUUUGAAAGUUAUCAUGUAGUAUUCAUGGUUGAAGUGUUCAAUAUUUCAUUAUGACAUUUAUCCCUAUUUAAUAAAAAUUCUUCUGCAAUUUUCUAAAACAGCAUUCUCAAAAUGUGUCCUGUUGCUGCUGCAAGAGGUUAAUAGAGGUCACAUAGAGAAACUAUUUUUAUAUUGAAAGAAGUUUGGGGAACAAGCAUACAUAUAUAAAAAUUUGGGAUUGAAUUUCAAAUACUACCCUAAUUAAAGUCAUCAGAAAUUCCUUUUAUAAUAGAUGCUUUUACCUCAAGAUGUUAUAGCCUUAGAAUAAAAGAACCAUAUAUAUAUAUUUUAAAGUUUUAAUGUUCUGCCCUCAUCUCUUAUCAGAAAACACAAAAGGGGGAAAUAUUGCUUCUGACUCUUGGUUCUGCAGUAGAGAUGUCAAGAAAUUACAUGACAAUUCUGAACAGCUCUCUGACUCAGGUAGGUCUAAGUGGUAAGAUUCUUUUCAGGAUUCCAAAGGGAAUGAGCAUGGCAAAGAUACAAUUUAAGGGUGAAUGAUUGGAAAUUGUUAUCUUUCAUCAGGGUAAAGUCUGACAUGUGAUAUAGUAAACUACACUGUCUAAUCUUGUUAGCACAGGCCACAUGUUAUUUAAAUUUACAUGCAAAAAUUAAAAAUUUAGUUUCACAGAAGAGUUAUAGUCCAAGUAACUAUUGAAAUCAUUACAGAUGAAUAUUUCUAUCAUCUAAGUUCUAAUGGAAGCACAAGUAGAGAAUAUUAAUCCCAGCUAUUAAACCCUAACUCAGGGUAUAUAGCUUAGUAAUAUGUACCCAUAAGUAAUAUUUUCCAUAUCAUCUAUGAUCCAGUGGUAGAGCCAUUAUAUACAGGGGGCUGGAUAUAUAGCUCAGUGUUAGAGUGUUUGCCCAGCAUGAUGUGUGAGGUCCUGUGUUUGAUCCUAUCACUGCAAAAGAAGAAGAAGAAGAAGGAGAAGGAGAAGGAGAAAGAAGUUUCUCUUCUCUUAUUGGUCUGGGGCCUCCACCAUCCAUCUUCACUGAGCUUAUUUUUCUUGACAAUUAAAUUUUAGUUUAUAUUUCAUACAGUACUGUCUCUGGGUCCUAUAUUAUACCCUACCUUGGUGUUUAGGUACUAUUAUACCCCUACCUUAGUUAUCUAUGUAAUUUUUCUUGAUUUUUCAGGCUAGCUGGGCUCAUUUGGUGGUUCUUCCUCUUGCAGGGCAUCUAUUAGGAUCCUCUGUGUAACUGUUGUCCUCUGGGAGCUUGACUUGAGCUGGAAGUCCACGAUGGCUCUACUGACAGAGUGGGCAUCGCAGCGAAGUUGGCUGUGAGGUAGCUGGGCCACUUUCCUACAUUGUAGUCAACCUGGGUUUUGCCUCAUGAACAAAUAAAAGCAGAAGUUGUCAGACCUCAUAAGUGCUGGGCCUAGA
Molecule: long non-coding RNA, 2314 nt
Filed under: Marmota monax (woodchuck)
Lineage: Eukaryota; Metazoa; Chordata; Mammalia; Rodentia; Sciuridae
Source: RNAcentral